GACAGAGGGUGCAAACGUUGCUCGGAAUUACUGGGCGUAAAGCGCGUGUAGGCGGAUUGUUAAGUCAGAUGUGAAAGCCCUGGGCUCAACCCGGGAACUGCAUUUGAAACUGGCAGUCUAGAGUGAUGGAGAGGAAAGCGGAAUUCCUGGUGUAGAGGUGAAAUUCGUAGAUAUCAGGAGGAACACCGGUGGCGAAGGCGGCUUUCUGGACAUUUACUGACGCUGAGACGCGAAAGCGUGGGGAGCAAACAGGAUUAGAAACCCCAGUAGUCC
This 273-nucleotide ribosomal RNA is filed under the name uncultured bacterium. Its description in RNAcentral is "partial 16S ribosomal RNA". It matches the Rfam family "Bacterial small subunit ribosomal RNA", at positions 524 to 796 of the family's 1533-position model. The record is from RNAcentral.